AACGAACGCUGGCGGCAUGCCUAACACAUGCAAGUCGAACGAGACCUUCGGGUCUAGUGGCGCACGGGUGCGUAACGCGUGGGAACCUGCCCUUAGGUUCGGAAUAACACCCCGAAAGGGGUGCUAAUACCGGAUAAUGUCUCCGGACCAAAGAUUUAUCGCCUUUGGAUGGGCCCGCGUGGUAUUAGCUAGUUGGUAGGGUAAAAGCCUACCAAGGCUACGAUCCAUAGCUGGUCUGAGAGGAUGAUCAGCCACACUGGGACUGAGACCCGGCCCCGACUCCUACGGGAGGGAGCAGUGGGGAAUAUUGGACACUGGGCGAAAGACUGAUGCAGCAAUGCCGCGUGAGUGAUGAAGGCCUUAGGGUUGUAAAGCUCUUUUACCCGGGAUGAUAAUGACAGUACCGGGAGAAUAAGCUCCGGCUAACUCCGUG
This 433-nucleotide ribosomal RNA is filed under the name uncultured bacterium. RNAcentral describes it as "partial 16S ribosomal RNA". It matches the Rfam family "Bacterial small subunit ribosomal RNA", at positions 29 to 507 of the family's 1533-position model. The record is from RNAcentral.